AGACCCGAAACCCGGUGAUCUAGCCAUGGGCAGGUUGAAGGUUGGGUAACACUAACUGGAGGACCGAACCGACUAAUGUUGAAAAAUUAGCGGAUGACCUGUGGCUGGGGGUGAAAGGCCAAUCAAACCGGGAGAUAGCUGGUUCUCCCCGAAAGCUAUUUAGGUAGCGCCUCGUGAACUCAUCUCCGGGGGUAGAGCACUGUUUCGGCUAGGGGGCCAUCCCGGCUUACCAACCCGAUGCAAACUGCGAAUACCGGAGAAUGUUAUCACGGGAGACACACGGCGGGUGCUAACGUCCGUCGUGAAGAGGGAAACAACCCAGACCGCCAGCUAAGGUCCCAAAGUCAUGGUUAAGUGGGAAACGAUGUGGGAAGGCCCAGACAGCCAGGAUGUUGGCUUAGAAGCAGCCAUCAUUUAAAGAAAGCGUAAUAGCUCACUGGUCGAGUCGGCCUGCGCGGAAGAUGUAACGGGGCUAAACCAUGCACCGAAGCUGCGGCAGCGACACUUUAGUGUUGUUGGGUAGGGGAGCGUUCUGUAAGCCGUUGAAGGUGUCCUGUGAGGGGUGCUGGAGGUAUCAGAAGUGCGAAUGCUGACAUAAGUAACGAUAAAGCGGGUGAAAAGCCCGCUCGCCGGAAGACCAAGGGUUCCUGUCCAACGUUAAUCGGGGCAGGGUGAGUCGACCCCUAAGGCGAGGCCGAAAGGCGUAGUCGAUGGGAAACGGGUUAAUAUUCCCGUACUUGGUGUUACUGCGAAGGGGGGACGGAGAAGGCUAUGUUGGCCGGG
This 783-nucleotide ribosomal RNA is filed under the name Salmonella enterica subsp. diarizonae. RNAcentral describes it as "partial 23S ribosomal RNA". It matches the Rfam family "Bacterial large subunit ribosomal RNA", at positions 711 to 1495 of the family's 2925-position model. The record is from RNAcentral. Lineage: Bacteria; Pseudomonadati; Pseudomonadota; Gammaproteobacteria; Enterobacterales; Enterobacteriaceae.